This 431-nucleotide ribosomal RNA is filed under the name uncultured bacterium. RNAcentral's name for it is "partial 16S ribosomal RNA". It matches the Rfam family "Bacterial small subunit ribosomal RNA", at positions 29 to 507 of the family's 1533-position model. The record is from RNAcentral.
AACGAACGCUGGCGGCAGGCCUAACACAUGCAAGUCGAGCGCCCCGCAAGGGGAGCGGCGGACGGGGGAGUAACGCGUGGGAAUAUGCCCUUUGCUACGGAAUAGUCUCGGGAAACUGGGGGUAAUACCGUAUACGCCCUUUGGGGGAAAGAUUUAUCGGCGAAGGAUUAGCCCGCGUUGGAUUAGGUAGUUGGUGGGGUAAUGGCCUACCAAGCCGACGAUCCAUAGCUGGUUUGAGAGGAUGAUCAGCCACACUGGGACUGAGACACGGCCCAGACUCCUACGGGAGGCAGCAGUGGGGAAUCUUAGACAAUGGGGGCAACCCUGAUCGAGCCAUGCCGCGUGAGUGAUGAAGGCCUUAGGGUUGUAAAGCUCUUUCAGCUGGGAAGAUAAUGACGGUACCAGCAGAAGAAGCCCCGGCUAACUCCGUG